CCAGGUCUGUCAAAGGAAACAAUGUACACUCCUAAACUUUCGAUGACAUCUUGAGAGAGGAUGUUAAUUGGAACAUCAUGCCUACAACCAUCGUACCCAUGGAUAUAUACAAUCUUAUAUUUUGCAUUAUCUCUAGGUACACCCGUCUCCUUGUAAGCCAAGUGUCUUCCAUCACUAAGUUUGAUUCUAGGUGCAGUGACAGGAGGGCCAUCUGGGGAUCCACAGGUCUUAGGGGGAGGUGGUCGUGUUGCUUGAUAACCCCACGCUAAUAACCCAAUCAAAACAACCAGAAGAAUUUUCGCAAAUGCCCCAGAAGGAAAAGGAAUAGAACUUUUUUUGCUUAGCUUUACGAGUAUGAGCCCUAGCUGAAGCUGCUGAAAUUUUCCUUGUUGACCCACCUGCCAUUUUUUUUUUCAG
This 417-nucleotide unclassified non-coding RNA is filed under the name Hevea brasiliensis (rubber tree). The record is from RNAcentral. Lineage: Eukaryota; Viridiplantae; Streptophyta; Magnoliopsida; Malpighiales; Euphorbiaceae.